UACGAAGGGGGCUAGCGCUGUUCGGAAUCACUGGGCGUAAAGCGCUCGUAGGCGGAUCUUUAAGUCAGGGGUGAAAUCCCGAGGCUCAACCUCGGAACUGCCUUUGAUACUGGGGAUCUCGAGUCCGGGAGAGGUGAGUGGAACUGCGAGUGUAGAGGUGAAAUUCGUAGAUAUUCGCAAGAACACCAGUGGCGAAGGCGGCUCACUGGCCCGGUACUGACGCUGAGGAGCGAAAGCGUGGGGAGCAAACAGG
Molecule: ribosomal RNA, 253 nt
Filed under: uncultured bacterium
Lineage: Bacteria
Description: partial 16S ribosomal RNA
Rfam family: Bacterial small subunit ribosomal RNA
Source: RNAcentral